CAAUAGCGUAUAUUAAAGUUGUUGCGGUUAAAAAGCUCGUAGUUGGAUUUCUGCUGAGAACGACCGGUCCGCCCUUUGGGUGUGUAUCUGGCUCUUUCUUGGCAUCUUCUUGGUGAACGUUGCUGCACUUGACUGUGUGGAGCGCUACCCAGGACUUUUACUUUGAGGAAAUUAGAGUGUUUCAAGCAGGCAUACGCCUUGAAUACAUUAGCAUGGAAUAAUAAGAUAGGACCUUGGUUCUAUUUUGUUGGUUUCUAGAGCUGAGGUAAUGAUUAAUAGGGAUAGUUGGGGGCAUUAGUAUUUAAUUGUCAGAGGUGAAAUUCUUGGAUUUAUGAAAGACUAACAUCUGCGAAAGCAUUUGCCAAGGAUGUUUUCAUUAA
This 380-nucleotide ribosomal RNA is filed under the name uncultured eukaryote. Its description in RNAcentral is "partial 18S ribosomal RNA". It matches the Rfam family "Eukaryotic small subunit ribosomal RNA", at positions 592 to 976 of the family's 1831-position model. The record is from RNAcentral.